GUGAAUCAUCGAAUCUUUGAACGCACAUUGCGCCCGCCAGUAUUCUGGCGGGCAUGCCUGUCCGAGCGUCAUUAGAACCCUCGGGACCCCUUCUGGCAAUCGCCCGGAGGGGCCCCGGCGUUGGGGAUCGGCUGCCCCCGCGGCUGCCGGCCCCGAAAUCUAGUGACGGUCCCACCGCAUACUCCUUUGCGCAGUAAAACACCUCGCACUGGACGGCUGGAGUGACCACGUCGUUAACCACCAACUUUAUCAAGGUUGACCUCGGAUCAGGUAGGAAUACCCGCUGAACUUAAGCAUAUCAAUAAGCGGAGGA
Molecule: unclassified non-coding RNA, 313 nt
Filed under: Stachybotrys sp.
Lineage: Eukaryota; Fungi; Ascomycota; Sordariomycetes; Hypocreales; Stachybotryaceae
Description: partial contains 5.8S ribosomal RNA, internal transcribed spacer 2, and large subunit ribosomal RNA
Rfam family: 5.8S ribosomal RNA (bases 1-71)
Source: RNAcentral